RNAcentral lists this ribosomal RNA (589 nucleotides) under uncultured bacterium. RNAcentral describes it as "partial 16S ribosomal RNA". It matches the Rfam family "Bacterial small subunit ribosomal RNA", at positions 355 to 1375 of the family's 1533-position model. The record is from RNAcentral.
UGGGGAAUUUUGGACAAUGGGCGAAAGCCUGAUCCAGCAAUGCCGCGUGUGUGAAGAAGGCCUUCGGGUUGUAAAGCACUUUUGUCCGGAAAGAAAUCCUUGGCUCUAAUACAGUCGGGGGAUGACGGUACCGGAAGAAUAAGCACCGGCUAACUACGUGCCAGCAGCCGCGGUAAUACGUAGGGUGCAAGCGUUAAUCGGAAUUACUGGGCGUAAAGCGUGCGCAGGCGGUUUGCUAAGACCGAUGUGAAAUCCCCGGGCUCAACCUGGGAACUGCAUUGGUGACUGGCAGGCUAGAGUAUGGCAGAGGGGGGUAGAAUUCCACGUGUAGCAGUGAAAUGCGUAGAGAUGUGGAGGAAUACCGAUGGCGAAGGCAGCCCCCUGGGCCAAUACUGACGCUCAUGCACGAAAGCGUGGGGGAGCAAAACAGGAUUAGAUACCCUGGUAGUCCACGCCCUAAACGAUGUCAACUAGUUGUUGGGGGAUUCAUUUCCUUAGUAACGUAGCUAACGCGUGAAGUUGACCGCCUGGGGAGUACGGCCGCAAGGUUAAAAACUUAAAGGAAUUGACGGGGUCAUAGCUGUUUCCU